Long non-coding RNA from Macrosteles quadrilineatus (aster leafhopper), 531 nucleotides. RefSeq lists it as uncharacterized. The record is from RefSeq and is a predicted model, not a curated record. The transcript is spliced from 3 exons. NCBI's taxonomy places the organism in Eukaryota, Metazoa, Arthropoda, Insecta, Hemiptera, Cicadellidae.
CAAUCCUAACCUCUUUGUCUUUGUGUGUCUUGUCAGUUUGUCUUUUUGCGACGUUUGUUUCUCGCGUUAUUACUAUAUCAGAGUUUUUAGACAUAAAGUAUUCAUAUUGAAGUUAGUUUUUGUCAAUUUUCAAUUUCUUUGUUCAUAGUUAAUUCCAUAGUGUUCGAUUUUAGAAGACUAACUGCAACAAAAGUGCUUGUGAGCCAACGAAACAUAAAGUAGAACCUCGAUAGUUCGACACUCCCUGUAGUUCGACACAGGCCGUGAUGACAAGACCUCAGUCAUACCUGGUCAUCAGUGGCCGAUGACGGGUUCACCAAGGUUAAAAACUAGAGCAUUCUUAGUGUUUUCGUGCAUGGAAAAACUCAAUAGGAAAAGAGGAGUUAUUGGUGCACAGAAUAGGAACAUCAGGCUGAGGUUAUGCGACAGUAAAUAAUGUAUAAGUAAAAUGUCACUUAAUUUAACUCAUGUUCUAAUUUUCAAGUUUGUUUUAUACUUUAUAUUUUCAUAAAAUAAAUUUACUAUAACCAA